This 4884-nucleotide long non-coding RNA is filed under the name Pelobates cultripes (western spadefoot toad). Lineage: Eukaryota; Metazoa; Chordata; Amphibia; Anura; Pelobatidae. The record is from RNAcentral.
UUUUUUUUUUUAUAAUUUUUUUAAGAGUGGGUGUGACUGACAUUAACUCAUGAUAACUUGUCAGAUGGUGUGCCCUCUCAAAAUUUGCUAAAUUGUUGCCCUGCAUAUUUUCUUCAAUACCCAUUCAUUUUGCACCCACAUAUCUAUAAUGCAUGUUAGAAUUUAUGUUCAGAUAACGUUCCUGGCUAUAUAUGCAUCCUCAAAUUUGUCCGUUUUUUAACCCAUGCAACCUAGUAUCAUAAUAGACCCUGACAUGAAAUAUGGUCAGUUAUUCAUCCCCCGAACCCUUCAUUAUUCCUGCAGUAAGUUAAGAGAGGCUCCCAGCGUAUAUAAUAUUCUGAUAACAUUCUUGGUUAGCCUGCCUGUUGUACAGGGGAAUGAGUAAAUGAAUUACCUAGGAGAGUAGCUUUUAUACAAUUUGGUUCAUAGUGUGUCAAGGCAGUAUCAUGGAAGCUAAAGAGGAAUAUUGCUUUGUCCAUCUAAGCCUACUGAUUGGCUUCAAAACAUGGACCUAUUGCUCCUUCAAAAGCUCUUUAUUGCAUUAUUUUCACUAACACAAAAAAAUUAAUUUGUUGCAGCUUGAUAUUUUUUAGCAGCUGGGAUAUAUUAGAUUUUACAAAUUGUAGAGGAUUCUGUUAGAUCAGACAUGUUAACUGUGAAGGUGACACCUCAGCUGCCAAUUCAUUGCUUACCACUUUAAAAGAAACACCAGCAAAGAUGUAAAGAUAUACCCUCUACAUAGCUCUGUAAUUAUGCAAGGCUGACAUUUAAAUGCUCGUCUUUGUGUUUGUCUUACUUGCCCCUUCCAGCACCCUCUCUUACUAUUUAUUCAUAACUAUUUAAAUUAGAGCAACUAUUUGUGAGAGUACAAAUCAAUAAAAAGCCUGCAAUGUCAUGGUUUUAAAUGUGCCAAAAAAAAAAGCAUUGUGCCACAUGUACAGACAAAGGUAACACCCUCUUACGCUAUCUGUCAGUUUGAAAUGUUACAUCAUAGUACAACUUUUCUAAACCAUGACUUCAGAACUGCUCCCAGAGAACCUUAACCUGCUUAGCUUAUGAAUUCCAAUUUUGUAUACAGCAUAAUAACGAAGCAGGGUGUUAAUCCAAAUAUGGUGCUAUCCUCAGGGGGCAUUUAAACGUAAGUUACAAGCUGCUGAUCACUAAGCCACCCGUCCCCUGCUUCUAACUAUGCUGAAUUACAGUCUGUUUUCCGAACAUAUAUUCUUGAUGGGUUGUCCUCGUGACAAAGCAUUGGUCUUACACCCCUUUAAAUAAUGACAGAGGAACUACCUGUGGCAUUAGAAUGCUUCACUUUAUCAAAUACUACCUUCAAGAUGCUAUAGAAGGGGCCACCUUUACAUUUUGUGCCAACCAAUGCUACACUACACUUUGCAUUAAUGACAAAUUGAAUACAAUAAGAUUAUGCAGUACGUUGACAAAUCCUAGUAUUGUUCUGUUUAACCAUGUGUCGAAGCAUUGGUACAUACUUUCACCUUGGGCUACAUGCUUUAGUCAACAUACCCAUUUUUUUUAAACUUCCAUUAGCUUUUAUAAGUGUUUACAAGAUGAUAUUGGGUAAUUUAGUAGCUUCAUUGAAACUUUCAGAUCACUGCAUUAAAUGCUCUGAAACGUAUUAGAUCUCUGAGCACAUUCAAUGUUUCUGUCUAGGUAAAACAGACAAAUGUAUAGUGUGGCUUUUUGGCAAAUUGUACAACUAGAGUGGUGCAUUAUGGAAAAAGUUCCUACAUACUAGUGAGAAGAAAAAAAAUCCUGCACACGUAGAUAAAAACACUUUAUACAUUGAUGUGCCAUAGCAAUGUCCUAUCUACAGCAGAGUCUGCUUACCAGUGACUGCCUAUUCAUUAAAAAGUUAAUUAUCCACCCAAAGACUCCAUCUAUCUGUGCCAAAGUUUCUGAUGCUGUGUAAUGUUCUCAUCAAGAAUUCUAUGUGUCUAAUUUAUCAUUUAGUGGCCUUUGGUAAAUAAUAACACAUAUCUUCUAAUUUACAAGUGUUCAAACGUGAUUAUCCAGAAUACACAAUCUAUAUGGUGAUAGUAAUGGUUAGAAGGAGAACCUUAAAUUCUGAUUAUCAGACACAGAUUCAUUGUUUUCCAUACAAGCAGCAAUUUAAAAGAAUUUUGAUAGCAUGAUAUCUCCCAUUUUGUAUAUUCCGUGGGCCGUACUCCGGUCUCCCAUCAUAUUUUUUUUUUGUCAUCAUUCUCCUAUGGGCAGCGUAAGUUUCGUCUCUCUGUAAAUGAAUGUGAAACGAGAAGUCACGGGAAGUGUAGAUAGUAUAACAGGGCCUGCAUUGGAGCUAGGCAUAUUUUUCUAAGAGUGAUUGCACCUUUAGAUGACUGGCUCCUGUAAAUAGCGAAAAUUCUAAACCCAAAUAAAACGUUAACAUCUCUCAUAACAAUAGUAGAUGCAUCCACCGUUUGUAAAUAUAAUGACUACAUAGAAAAUUACAUUCGAAUACGUUUUAUUUCAGUUAGUUGAUGACAAAUUUUAAAUCCUCUGUAUUAUCGAUUCCUGUAGUUGUGUUUUUUUAUCACUAUUAUUUUAACUUUAACAUAUUUGGUUUAAAAAAAGUGUUCGGAUCUAUCGUUUGCAGCUGCAAAUCAGGGAAACUAUAAUCUCUCGCAGCUACAGUGAGUUCUGCAUGAUAUCACACUUUGGUUGUUUUAUUUUAAUAUUUUAUUUUUUUAAAGAGAAAAACAAGCAAAAUGUACAUGGGUCAAUAUCAUUGUGACAUUCGGAGAACACAGAAAAGAAGGUGGUCUUCACUUCUUGUUCUAAGCCAAAAAAACCUUGACUUUACUGCUCGGGUUUAUUCAAAGUCAGAACAAAGAGGUUUGUUAUUUAACUACUGUUUCCAAAUGUGUUGUCUAUUAUGUUCUGUUUAUAAGGGGUUGUUUGGCAAUGUCAAACAAGUGUAACAUUUUUGUGUAAAGGAAAAAAACUAAAAAGUGUUUUAAAGAGUGUUAUAAGAAAACACUGAGCCUUAUGAGAAAAAAAAAAUAUUUAUGGAGAUAAAUAAAAAUGGAAAAAGGCAUUUUUAAAGUAUUUUUAAAUAUUUUAUUUAUGUAAAAACAAAAGUGUUGGAUCUUAUUGCUCUGAAAAAAAAUAUGUGCAUCCUGAAAUGUUUUUUUUAAAUGUCACUAAUAGCCCAGCUUCAAUGCCUAGGCAUCUGUUUUGUACAAAAUAAACUGUUUGUUCAUCUGUUAUGUACAUCAAGACGGUUACAGAUAUUGUCUGUCACUUUAGGAGCAAGCCUGAGCAUGAAGAAGAUGAUAGAGUGUAAUAAUACUACAUAUGGAUAUAUAUAUAUAUAAAUAUAUAUAUACAUAGAGAUGUAUAUAUUUAUAGCACUAACAAAUUCAACAGUGCUAUAAAGAAUACCUAGAGAAACAAGCUGACUCUGUAGGUUUUAAAAGUUUUGUCUGCAAGCUUACACUGUCUGUUUGUCUGUCUCUCCGUGUGUCUAUUUAGCUAUGGUUUACAUUUAACCGACAGAACACCUUAUCAAAUUUGCACAGGUAGUUCUUUUUGUGGAAUCCUUAACACGGUUUUGCUUAACACAGUUUUGUGAAAGAGUUUUAACCCUUAUAUGACAAGAUGUAAGCAAUGACAAAUCCGACAUACUAUUUGCCAUUUCAAGAUAUCUAAGCGAUCUUCUUAACUGCAACAGGAUAAGUUAAAGCAGUUUCUUUCAGUUUUUUUUUUUUUUUUAAAUCAUAUUGGUUAGACUUCCUGGACAGAAAAAAACAGUUUAUUGCUUUUAUAUGAGCAUCAUAUGUCAAAACUAUAAUUAUGAUUUUUUGCAUGGACUGGUUGGAAGAACUGUUGGAUUAAGCUGUUGAUGUCCAACUCAUUUUAUAGAAACAUUCCGUGGUGUUUAUAUUCUUACACAAAUAGAAGCGGCUGUGUGUGUGAAUCAUUAUUUAUACAGAUACACUUUUUGAUGGGGAUGUAUAGUCUCAGGCCAUGUCAGGAGGUUAAGGAGGUGCAGCUUGAUGGCAAUAUGUGUUGGCAAACAAUACAUUAUAGCGACACAGCAAUGACAUUUCUUUAUAACCCUGUUUACCUCUAAACACAGCUUUAAAUGUUUAGAUAUAGAUUUGCCUAAAACUGUGAGCGCUUGACAAUCAUUCUUUUACAAACUGAUUGUGUUUGACAGUUGCCACUAUUCUGUUAGCAAGCCAAUUAAAAUCUUAUUGUACUGUAUUGAUGUGAACGAUGUAAUACACAGGUUGAUGGCUCUGCAAAACCACACUGUAUUUUUAUUUUCUUUUUAUAAAUGGUAAAUCGACAAAAAGCACAAACAUACAGGGCAACAUAACAUUGAAAAAACAUUUUUAAUUUUUUCAGAAGAACACAUCGUGGUAAAAAAAAAUUACAAUUGAGAAACAUGAAAUUUCUAUUAGAUUAAUGAAAAAGUCCCUUUAAAGACUGAUGAAAGAGCAGAGUUGGGAGAAUUAACUCCAAGCUGUUUUCUUUUGGUUAUGCCUUUAUUAAGUUUUGUUGUAAUUUUCACAGUUUUGGCCUCAUGUAGAUCUGUACAAACCAGUAUGGAAAUGUGUAAAUAUAAUUAAUGUGAAGUUUUCCUGUGUGCCUAGAUACAUUGUGGGUGCAACUAAUCUCAGAGCUCCUUCACUGCCCUAAUCUGCGUUAAUUGUUAUACAGCAAUGAGCAAUGGUGUCACAGUAACUUGCAUUGGAUUCAAGGUUACAUGAAAUCAUCAUUGUAUGUACACGAACAUCCAAGAUGUGUAUGUGACAUGUGCUAUCAGCAAUGAGUGGAGGCACCAAAUUCGAAAACGAAAUUCUAAGUUACAAGAUCCAUCUAUUUUAAUGUGUAUGAUUAAGGCAUUACAAAUAAAUCUGC